CUGCAGAGUAUUAGGGGGUAGCGGGUAUUCGAAAAAAAUGAAAUUUUUUUUUCUUCCCUAACCAAGGAUUGCACUCUAGUGCUAUCCGUGGGUGCCCUAACUAAGUACUUCACACGUGCAAUUCGUGUGAGACCGACCAAGGAAUGCACUCUAGUGCUAUCCGUGGGAGGCCCGGCCAAGCACUUCACGCGUGCAAUUCGUGUGAUACCGAUGAAGGAAUGCACUCUAGUGCUAUCCGUGGGAAGCCCGACCAAGCACUUCACGCGUGCAAUUCGUGUGACACCCGAUCAAGGAAUGCACUCUAGUGCUAUCCAUGGGUGGCCCGGCCAAGCACAUCACGCGUGCAAUUCGUGUGAUACCGAUCAAGGAAUGCACUCUAGUGCUAUCCGUGGGAGGCCCGACCAAGCACUUCACGCGUGCAAUUCGUGUGACACCCGAUCAAGGAAUGCACUCUAGUGCUAUGGAAUGCACUCUAGUGCUAUGGAAUGCACUCUAGUGCUAUCCGUGGGAGGCCCGACCAAGCACAUCACGCGUGCAAUUCGUGUGAUACCGAUCAAGGAAUGCACUCUAGUGCUAUGGAAUGCACUCUAGUGCUAUGGAAUGCACUCUAGUGCUAUCCGUGGGAGGCCCGACCAAGCACUUCACGCGAGCAAUUCGUGUGAGACCCGAUCAAGGAAUGCACUCUAGUGCUAUCCGUGGGAGGCCCGACCAAGCACUUCACGCUUGCAAUUCGUGUGAGACCGACCAAGGAAUGCACUCUAGAGCGAUCUGUUUGUGCAAUACGUGUGAGUCCCGACCAAGGAAUGCACUCUUGUGCGGUUUGUGGGAGGCCCGACCAAGCAUUUCAUGCGUGCAGUUCGUGUACCGACCAAAGAAUUGCAAUGAGAUGGGGUUUUUUCGGAUUUUGGCCUAUUUUAUGGAUGGGAAAUAAACGGUUUCUCUAUUUUAUGCGAACAUCCAAGAAAAGUUGUGCAGAGUAUUAGGGGGUAGUGGGUAUUCGAGAAAAAUGAAUUUUCGUUUUUUCAUCCCUAACCAAGGAAUGCACUCUAGUGCAAUCGAAGUGUGCCCUAACUAAGCAUUUCAUGCGUGCAAUUCGUGUGAGACCGACAGUGGAUUGCGCUC
RNAcentral lists this long non-coding RNA (1122 nucleotides) under Zostera marina. Its description in RNAcentral is "long non-coding RNA (ZMAR_LNC005648)". The record is from RNAcentral. Lineage: Eukaryota; Viridiplantae; Streptophyta; Magnoliopsida; Alismatales; Zosteraceae.